GCUGGGGUGGCGAAAUAGGUAGACGCACAGGACUUAAAAUCCUGUGAGACCGAAAGGUCUCAUGCGGGUUCGAGUCCCGCCCUCAGCACCA
Molecule: transfer RNA, 91 nt
Filed under: Pseudomonadota bacterium
Lineage: Bacteria; Pseudomonadati; Pseudomonadota
Also listed under: 2 other names
Description: tRNA-Leu
Rfam family: tRNA
About the family: Transfer RNA (tRNA) molecules are approximately 80 nucleotides in length. Their secondary structure includes four short double-helical elements and three loops (D, anti-codon, and T loops).
Source: RNAcentral